Molecule: long non-coding RNA, 6992 nt
Organism: Mus musculus (house mouse)
Lineage: Eukaryota; Metazoa; Chordata; Mammalia; Rodentia; Muridae
Product: predicted gene, 32186
Exons: 6
Source: RefSeq, a predicted model, not a curated record
GGAGCUCUGAGCAGAGGCCACGGCUGCCACCAGCUAUGUGUUUGCGCUUGGUGGGAAGGAUGCAGCAGCUGCUCCGAGCCAGGUCAUUUCAAUAACAACAGGAGACCUCGGUUCCAGAUGAAUGGCAUCUCUCAGGCUGAAGAGCUUCUGCAGACUCUCCACUUUCAUACUGAUUAGAAGUGCUUGAGAAACAUCAUAGCAGUGGUGAUGAGCACUGUCUGGGCCCUCGCUCUGCGUUCUCUGCCAUUCACGAAUCCCUGACAAGCCUGAGGAAUGGAUUUAGAAGCCUACCUUUCAGCUAGCUUACUGCCAGACGGAGACAUCCAGCACACAGACAUGACCAGAUAGCUACCCAAAUGAAUACAGCAAGACAUCCCAUCAACUUGUACGUUAAGGCUAAGCUUUGUCUGGAAGGUGACGAUGAUGAUGAAGAUGACAAUGAUAAUGAUGACAAUGGUGGCAGCGUGGUAACAUGGUCACAAUUAUCCAACCCUUGAAGAGCCCGCGUCAACACAGCCGAGAGAUUUUGACAGCGGAAAAAGCUUGCCUGGCCUGGGAUGGCAGUGUUUUCGUUUAGAAUGGUCUGGGAUAGACAGCUAGCACGAAGCUUUGUUCCGGGCAGGACCAGUUCAGAGUCUAGAAAUGUGCGCCUUCCUGUCUUGGCCGUAUUUCUGUGGUGCCGCCAGGAGCAGUGUAAAAGAAGAACCCAUUCUAAGUAAAGAAAGAGCUUGCCGCAUUUGGAAGGCAAAGAGGGAGCAGGCAGAAGAGCCGUCGGGGCGUGCAGCGUGCUGGAGCCCCGGGGCUUUGAAAUCCUUUUCUGUGUUGUCACUUGAAUGUCGAACACGUUAUUCUCGGUGGACACUAAAAAGAAGUACAGGUACCGCGGGCUCCAGGGGGAUUCGUUAUUCAAGGCACAAAAUUUUCUACUCUGGCCUGCAACACAUUAUAAUUCAAAUGAGCCGAGCACAAUAGAGGGAAAAAUAUGCAAGCAGAUUUCUCCGUGUCGUGUUUUUUUUUCCCUCCUCUCUGAAGCCCUGUAAUUACAGCAGGCAGGUGGAGCAUCUGGGGUGUGGGGGAGUCAGUCCACUGUAUUUUUACCUUCCUAGGAACGCGACUUGCCUUACCACAUCAAUAUAUUUUAUUUUUAAUUAAGUGCUUAUUGCAAAAUCUGAGUCCUUGAACGGAGGUCUGAUUUACCGACCUUCCCUCUCCUCCCCUCCCCUGCCUCUCUCGCUGCUAUUACUAUUUCAGUUUUCUUUCUAAAAUCUUUCAUCUUUUCCUGAAUGGGUUCUGGUCUUCGGCAGCGGCAGUGGUUUGGGCGCGGGACCUUCACCUCGGUUCACCGAGUCAGGAGUCAGUUUCCCCGGCUCCUUUCGUUGAUCAUCUUCUCAAUGGCGGCGGGGACCCUGUCUCCUCCCCAUCCAAGUGCCAGGCGGCCCUGCGGUGUGCCCGGACACUGGGCUCAGUGCACCUCCUGCCCACGGCGUGGGCAGUGGAAACUCCGGGCGCAGCCUCAGGCCUCGCCCUGCCGGACCGGGUCCCCAAAACGCCAAGGUUUUGCGGGCUCAUGAGCAGGACCCCAGUCCUUCUCGGAGGUGAUGGGAUCCGAGGUUCGAGAUCCUAGGCUGAUCAAAAGGAGAUGUGGGGCUGCAAAGAAGGCCCCUCGAGUAGCAGAGGAAACGGCCCAGGGGCCCCAGGGUCAGGACUGCGGGCAGGGCGGGGAUUCCCUUCCUGAGGAUUCUCCGUUUAGAUGAGACCCGGUGCCCUGGGGUGGAGGUGGGGCUGAGGGUGGAGGACAGGUCUCCACUGCAUCUCUGAGAACCCGCACCGAGGUACUACGAAAAGCCCGAUUUCUGGAGACCGUAUCUCCUGCCCAUGUCAGAGAAUAAACAACUGUAAACGGGUUUACAGAAAUCUGUGGGACCCUGCCGGAGCCUGACGACUUCUGUGUUGCCACCUCGCAGACCUCCAUUACCUGCUUUGAUGGUUCCUAGGGUUUGGCCCAGGACCAGGAGUGUGUGUGGGAGGGGUCUAGGGACAGCAGCAGAUGCGGAUGGGUCAAACUUUGCAGAGAAAAGCGACCACUAUGAAUCACUAUUGAAGCUCACCCAGGACAGGCGACUUCAGAGGGGUGUUAAAGACAGAUUAAAAGGAGAGAGAGAGAACCCAACUCUGGAAUACAGAUCCUGUCUUUAUUUGUGCCUCUGAUUUCCUGGCUACCCUUGUCAGGGCAUGCACCUGUCUGGAUUCCUGAUACAGAGUAGAGUCCCGGGUUCUUGUAAAUAAAAUGAGGACAGAGAAGGGGUUAAGGCUGGGUUGACUGCUGGAAUUGAUAAAUCUUCUUGGGACCUGUGGAUGCCCACCACAAAAAUAGUAUCCCUUGGAAGCUGUUGGGAGGUACUUCUGAGGUGUGGGUCAAGGUCAUGACUAGCCAAAUCCCCAUCAUCCUAUGCUAGGCCACUCAGAAGAAGAAGGGCUGGCGAUCCACCAUGCUGAUGGCUAAGAUUCCAUUUUGUUUCUUAUUUUUAAAAAAAGUACAUCUUUAUCAUAGAAGUAAUGAAAAAGCGCAAAUACUGAAAAGUAAGCACACUCAUUACCUAGAGAUAAGUCUUCCGUGUACACGGUGGUACAAGCAUGGCUAUUUUGUAGAAUAACUGGUUUUUCUUCUUCCAAACAAUGUGUUGUGGAUAUCUUUCUACUCAAGCAUCCUUUCAGUGAUUACUGGUCAAUGGGUGUAGGGCCUCCUUGAUGAUUAAGCCGCACUUCUGAUGCCAGGUUCUAGUGUGCUAUUUUUAGCCAUCCCUUUCUUGGGUCUUUUAGGACUGUGACACUUUUUAAUUUCUAAAGCCUCUGUCCACAACAUUUCAGGGUCAUCCCCCCUGCUGUGUCACCAUGCAGGUCCUUAAUUAUUUUCUUAAGAUGUAUUCCUCAACAUGCCUGGGUCAACUGUUCUGCAUUUUUAAAAAAAGUUUUGCAACAUUUUAUCAAAUCAACCUUUAGAGAGGUUAUGUCAAUGUACACGCCCACCUGCUGAGAAUGCAGAAGUGUCCUCAUCAACUACAUACAAUACAAUUUACAUACAUAGUAUGUAUAUAUAGUCUUUAUUCUUUUGCCUACUUUAUUUUUAAUUGGAAUAUUCAUCUUUUUCUUACUAGUUUGUAAGAACAUUUUUUACAUUCAAUCUAUUUUCCCUAUAUUCUGCAAUUUAAUGCAAGUUGCCAAUUCACCACCAACCCCAUACCGGGGACUGAACCCAGGACCUGACACAAGCUAGGCAACUGCUCUACCACUGUGACAUAUCUCAGUCUGCUGAUUACAUUUAUGUUUAAAUUGGCAGAGCCCAGAUUCUUAAUACUUUAGUUUAUGGUUUCUGCUUUUGAUGUUAUUUUGUAAAGGCCUUUUCCACUUUGGAAUUUCCCAACUAUCUACUUGUAUUUUCUCCUAGUGAUUCUAUUUUAUUUAAAAAUAUUUCAUAUUAAAUUUGUGGGUUUUUUAAAAAAUGGAAUCUAAUUUUAUUUUCCAAUCUUUGUUACUGUUUCUGAAUAAUUUUUUAUUAGAUAUUUUCUUUAUUUGCAUUUCAAAUGUUAUCCCCUUUCCUAGUUUCCCCUCCGAAAAUCCCCUAUUCCCUCCCCCUGCUCCCCAGUUUCUGAAUAACUUUGAUCAUGCCAUAUACUAUAACUGGUUCCCAAACAAGUAUAGCCAGGAGGGAAGACCCUGUCUCCAAGAAACGCUGAGAGUAGAGAUGAGGGCUUGACCCCAUGUCUGGAGGUACACACAACAGUAUCUAGACUUUGUCACUUUCCAUAUUAUUUAAACCCUGGUUUUGCAUUUGUGCAAUGAACAUAAUAUUAGGAACUAUCUCCCCAAAUGGUGGUGAAGAUCAAAUUGUAACAUGCACAUGAAACACGUGUGCAUGGCUCAACGGGACUAACAAUGAGUAGGAAUAGGUUAGGAAGAAGGACUGUAGCAAUUGUGUGACAUGGUAAUGUUAAAAAGAAAUACAUCGUCACCAUCUAUAGAUACAACUAUACUUACACCGUGGGUACAUUGCUGUAUAGUUGCAGAGAGCUCAUCCAAGUCAUUCGGAGGGUUCCCUGAAAGCUGGCUUGUACCCCUAAAGCCUGGCUCUGCUGGAGCCUGGACUGCACUGAACGCCCACAUUUCAGGGGAGCCUAGUGCUGGUUCUGUUCACAGACUUACUUCCAAGGCCUUCUGCCUGACCUGCCCAUGUUGAAGGGAAUCAGAAGAACAACCUGACACUUGGAGAGCUCACGGGACAGAGAGCACUUGGAGUCUGUGCUCAGAGCGAGCAGCCCUCUCUCCCCCUUCCUGGCUCACCCCCAAGCUGAGGAUGGCUGCAGAGAAAUAGUCACUGGCCGUGAGCCAGGGACACCAGUCAGCUUAACCAAAGAAAUCAAUGGACACUGUGUCUGCAAAUGAGGAAAGUGACGUGGUAAGGAGGCGUAUGCCUUGUCCAGAAUCACAAAUACCCGGGGUGGCAAAAGCAAAAGGAGAAGCGGCCUCAAAAGGGGCCAUUUCCCAUGUCAGGCAGGCCCGGGUUCACAAAGGAACGGGCACGCUGCUCUUGAGCCCUGGGCGGUGGAGGCCCAACAUAUUUUUAUGAGGCACAGACAAUGAGUAGCCAUUCAAAAGGCUGAUGUUGCCUCUGCUUAGAAAAGGGCAAAUAUUUUAGGAAUCCCUUGUUACUAGGCAAAUGCCUGAUGACUGUUUGGAGGACUGGAACUCAGCUGCAUGCACAGUACCUUGGGCUUUGCCCUUUGAUUCAGAGUUCUGCUUCCGCCAAGGAGUGGCUCUCUAGUUUGGCUGCACCCUGGAACAAGCUGUGAAGCUCUUAAGCGCAAAGAUGCCAGGUUUCACUUCCAGAAAGAUCGAUUAAAUUAGGGCAUAGAAUGCUAUUGCUAAAAAGUUUUAUCCUAGCCAAACAUUUCUCAAAUUUUAAAGAAUUUUCUGAAAAGUUUGUUAAAAUGUUCCAGACUCUGGGCCUGGACUUUGACACUCCAGUCAAUCUCCUAUAGGAUGUUAUGUUCCUGUGACCUGAGGGACGGGAUAGCUCAAUGACCAUAGUGCUUGUUUGUUUUUGUUUUGUACAGAUUAGAGCAUUACUUAACCAGACAGUUGUCCUAGAGCUGAAAUUAAGCAGAGAGGGAAUCUAUGAUAGUUGUCCCCAGCCUGGAGGCCCAGCACACUGAUGAGAGCCCUUAACAUUCUGGCAAAGUCCCCUCAUCACCCUGGAGGAGACCUUACAUCUUCUUGGACUAGAGGAGUCAUGUGCUUGGGCUUAUGUCUCCGUUGUUAGGGUUGUUUGCUCUGUCCCCCAUGGGGACAUGGGGAUGGGGACUAUAUGUCAAGAGUAACAGCACAGACCCUGGGAGAGUGAAAAGCAAGGGACGUUAGAGGCCUUCCACCUAAGGAAGAAUGUGAACAUAAACAGCAAAGAUCUAAGGCCAGUGCACUCUGUAAUCUUACAGGAACUGCUUCUGCUAAUAUUGGUCAUCAACUUGACAGGCUCUGAAACCAUCGAUGAGAGAUUUCUUAUUCUCAUGGUCACCAGCAAAACUGUCACGAGAGGAGGAAUAUCAAUUGAUCCUAACACAUGCCUGGAAUUCAAAUGCGGACUUUCUUCCUUUGGACAUGCUACAUCAAACUGGCUGCUUUCUCAAAGAGAAUGCUUCUAGACUUUAAAGAAUGGAAAAGACCCUUUUCCCGAUUGCCAGAAAACGGUGCACUGGAGACUUGAUAUUCUAGGUAACAAUGGAAAAGGAUACAAUGUAUACCUCGCUGGGUCAAGUCUUGCUAUCUGCAAGCUAAGGAAGACCACAGGGCAUUGCCCAGAGGGUUGGCCAAGCCUGUGGUUAGAAGACCUAAUGGCAUCCACAGGAAAAGAUGGAGGGAGAAGAGGGAGUGGAGUGUGGUUUAUCCUUCCUGAUCCUGGGCGCAUUUUGCACACCAGACCAUCCCCAUCUGCAAUGUUUUGUGUUUGCUUUUAUUACUUCCUUCAACCAGACUGCUCCAGGACCAAGGCAACCUGCACCUGGACCACCUGAAGCAUCCCUGACCAUCCUGAAACAUUCUAGUCACUCUCAGAAUUCAUCUCCCUCCACCAGGUGGAUUUCUUAUUCAUUGAACAUGCUAUGCUGGCGGCGGCAGCGGUGGCGGCGGAGGGGGGGGGGCAUGGCAUUUAAGGGUCUCUCCAUUGUAAUGCUCCAGGGUCAAGCUAGACACUGUGGCAGCCCUGCCUGGCUUUACCACUUUGACAUAAGCUUCUCUGGGCAGCUUAAAUUCAGCACAGGAUAUAGUUGGGGCAGGCAAGACUAGCGUUCUGGAUAGGAUUCCUGUUACGGAUACAACACAUUCAAUAACUUAAAAUAACGCAGGUUUAUUAUCAAAAGUUCUGGAAGUCAGAUGUCCACACUGGGCAGGAGUGCCAGGUGUCUUCUGGAGGCCCCACGGGAGCGUCUGCUUCUUGCCCUUGUGGUCCUGUGUCUCUUCAGUAUCUGUUCUCGUUGCCAUGUCUCUUCCGUUCUGAUUCUGACUUCCUUCAUAGCUUCCCUAAGAAUCCCCGUGUUUCUUUCGGGCCCACCAACAUACCCGAGGUCACUGCUCUACUUCCAUAUCUUGAAUCCCCUCUGAGAAGCCCCCUUUGCCAUCUGAGACCAAACACUGAGAUCUUUGGAACAGGAGAAGCAUCUUUGUGUCUAUUGUGACUCCUUGCAUCUGUUUACACAGCUGUAUAUAAAAAAAUAUGCCUCUCUUCCCCGAGGGACUAUGGAAGGAUUUAAUGUGGUAAUUUAUACGUAUAACUUCCCUAUUCUGUGUCUGGCACAGUGGAGGUAUUUUAUUCUGGUCAGUAGCUUUGUAAGCCAGAAACGAAGAACUGUGGCUUCUCCUUUCUGACCCUUGAGCUUCUUCUAGCUAUUGCUGAGUCCCAAGUAGGAAAUCAAUAAAUGUAAUAAAUAAUUAUUUUGAUCGAU